This is a non-coding RNA of Hydra vulgaris (swiftwater hydra), 354 nucleotides long. The record is from RefSeq and is a predicted model, not a curated record. NCBI's taxonomy places the organism in Eukaryota, Metazoa, Cnidaria, Hydrozoa, Anthoathecata, Hydridae.
CGAAAAUACAAUGUAUGUUUGAUUUUUAAUUAAACUAUGAUAAAUAUUUUUACCAUUAAAGGUAAAAAAACUUAUGAUACGAAAUAUGACACUUCACACUGUUAAAACUUCUCGUACUUUUACGGAAUUAUUUUCUGUUAUUUGUAAGGAAACUAUCCAUUGAACAAAAUUGAACGGAAGUUUUCCUUCUUUUAAAAUAAAUUUUGAAACACGGAUAUUUUUGUUGGAAAAAAGAAUGUUUUAAUGACAAUGAUGAGGAUUCUUAAAGGUAUUGGCAGGCUGUACCUGACGACUUACCUUCCUGCAAUGAAAUUAAAAGAACAAAAAAUUUCAAUAUUGAUUAGUCUAUUAUAA